Molecule: long non-coding RNA, 269 nt
Filed under: Panax ginseng (ginseng)
Lineage: Eukaryota; Viridiplantae; Streptophyta; Magnoliopsida; Apiales; Araliaceae
Description: long non-coding RNA (PGIN_LNC018463)
Source: RNAcentral
GAUAGCAUUAGUAGUCUUCACUAUUCUGUGAAAUAGUGUGAUAAUAAUUGUAAUGAGGUCUCCUUUUGAGUUUGUAUAAUCUCUAGUAGACAAUAUUUGUAUUCAAACUCACAGUUUAUGUUUUGUCGUAUUGUACACGACAGUUGUAUUAGUAAGUUGUAUUUAAAUUCUGUACCAUGUAUCUGACGACCUAAGAUGGGUGAUGUAUACCUAAUUUUGGGGGCGUCACAUAUAUAUAUCAACAGAAAGCAAAUAUUAAUGAAUUGAGU